RNAcentral lists this microRNA (22 nucleotides) under Chrysemys picta bellii (western painted turtle). RNAcentral's name for it is "Cpi-Mir-1677-o8_5p* (star (passenger))". RNAcentral also lists the same sequence under 1 other name. The record is from RNAcentral. Lineage: Eukaryota; Metazoa; Chordata; Testudines; Emydidae.
AACUGCUCUCCCAAUUAAGUCA